CUGUCGGUCCCCCCGCGACGAUAGUCUGUAAACUCCGCCAGGCCCGGAAGGGAGCAACGGUAGCAGAUGAUUCGGGUGCCGGGGUGUGGCUGGCAGGGUC
RNAcentral lists this signal recognition particle RNA (100 nucleotides) under Frateuria aurantia DSM 6220. RNAcentral describes it as "Bacterial signal recognition particle RNA". It matches the Rfam family "Bacterial small signal recognition particle RNA". Rfam says of the family: The signal recognition particle (SRP) is a universally conserved ribonucleoprotein involved in the co-translational targeting of proteins to membranes. Archaeal SRP consists of a 7S RNA and homologues of the eukaryotic SRP19 and SRP54 proteins. Lineage: Bacteria; Pseudomonadati; Pseudomonadota; Gammaproteobacteria; Lysobacterales; Rhodanobacteraceae. The record is from RNAcentral.